GACGAACGCUGGCGGCGUGCUUAACACAUGCAAGUCGAACGGAAAGGCCCUGCUUUUGUGGGGUGCUCGAGUGGCGAACGGGUGAGUAACACGUGAGUAACCUGCCCUUGACUUUGGGAUAACUUCAGGAAACUGGGGCUAAUACCGGAUAGGAGCUCCUGCUGCAUGGUGGGGGUUGGAAAGUUUCGGCGGUUGGGGAUGGACUCGCGGCUUAUCAGCUUGUUGGUGGGGUAGUGGCUUACCAAGGCUUUGACGGGUAGCCGGCCUGAGAGGGUGACCGGCCACAUUGGGACUGAGAUACGGCCCAGACUCCUACGGGAGGCAGCAGUGGGGAAUAUUGCACAAUGGGCGCAAGCCUGAUGCAGCGACGCCGCGUGGGGGAUGACGGCCUUCGGGUUGUAAACUCCUUUCGCUAGGGACGAAGCGUUUUUGUGACGGUACCUGGAGAAGAAGCACCGGCUAACUACGUGCCAGCAGCCGCGGUAAUACGUAGGGUGCGAGCGUUGUCCGGAAUUACUGGGCGUAAAGAGCUCGUAGGUGGUUUGUCGCGUCGUUUGUGUAAGCCCGCAGCUUAACUGCGGGACUGCAGGCGAUACGGGCAUAACUUGAGUGCUGUAGGGGAGACUGGAAUUCCUGGUGUAGCGGUGGAAUGCGCAGAUAUCAGGAGGAACACCGAUGGCGAAGGCAGGUCUCUGGGCAGUAACUGACGCUGAGGAGCGAAAGCAUGGGUAGCGAACAGGAUUAGAUACCCUGGUAGUCCAUGCCGUAAACGGUGGGCGCUAGGUGUGAGUCCCUUCCACGGGGUUCGUGCCGUAGCUAACGCAUUAAGCGCCCCGCCUGGGGAGUACGGCCGCAAGGCUAAAACUCAAAGGAAUUGACGGGGGCCCGCACAAGCGGAGGAACAUGUGGUUUAAUUCGAUGAUACGCGAGGAACCUUACCCGGGAUUGAAAUGUAGAUGACCGCUCCUGAAAGGGAGUUUUCCUUCGGGACAUCUAUGUAGGUGCUGCAUGGUUGUCGUCAGCUCGUGCCGUGAGGCGUCGGCUUAAGUGCCAUAACGAGCGCAACCCCUGUCUACGGUUGCCAUCAGGUGAUGCUGGGAACUCCGUAGAGACUGCCGUCGUAAGGCGUGAGGAAGGUGGGGAUGACGUCAAAUCAGCACGGCCCUUACAUCCGGGGCGACACACGUGUUACAAUGGUAAGGACAAAGGGCAGCUACCUGGCGACAGGAUGCGAAUCUCUAAACCUUAUCACAGUUCGGAUCGGAGUCUGCAACUCGACUCCGUGAAGCUGGAUUCGCUAGUAAUCGCGCAUCAGCCAUGGCGCGGUGAAUACGUUCCCGGGCCU
Molecule: ribosomal RNA, 1345 nt
Filed under: uncultured bacterium
Lineage: Bacteria
Description: partial 16S ribosomal RNA
Rfam family: Bacterial small subunit ribosomal RNA
Source: RNAcentral